This 1357-nucleotide ribosomal RNA is filed under the name Escherichia coli. Its description in RNAcentral is "partial 23S ribosomal RNA". It matches the Rfam family "Bacterial large subunit ribosomal RNA", at positions 1 to 1396 of the family's 2925-position model. Lineage: Bacteria; Pseudomonadati; Pseudomonadota; Gammaproteobacteria; Enterobacterales; Enterobacteriaceae. The record is from RNAcentral.
GGUUAAGCGACUAAGCGUACACGGUGGAUGCCCUGGCAGUCAGAGGCGAUGAAGGACGUGCUAAUCUGCGAUAAGCGUCGGUAAGGUGAUAUGAACCGUUAUAACCGGCGAUUUCCGAAUGGGGAAACCCAGUGUGAUUCGACACACUAUCAUUAACUGAAUCCAUAGGUUAAUGAGGCGAACCGGGGGAACUGAAACAUCUAAGUACCCCGAGGAAAAGAAAUCAACCGAGAUUCCCCCAGUAGCGGCGAGCGAACGGGGAGGAGCCCAGAGCCUGAAUCAGUGUGUGUGUUAGUGGAAGCGUCUGGAAAGGCGCGCGAUACAGGGUGACAGCCCCGUACACAAAAAUGCACAUGCUGUGAGCUCGAUGAGUAGGGCGGGACACGUGGUAUCCUGUCUGAAUAUGGGGGGACCAUCCUCCAAGGCUAAAUACUCCUGACUGACCGAUAGUGAACCAGUACCGUGAGGGAAAGGCGAAAAGAACCCCGGCGAGGGGAGUGAAAAAGAACCUGAAACCGUGUACGUACAAGCAGUGGGAGCACAGAGCAAUCUGUGUGACUGCGUACCUUUUGUAUAAUGGGUCAGCGACUUAUAUUCUGUAGCAAGGUUAACCGAAUAGGGGAGCCGAAGGGAAACCGAGUCUUAACCGGGCGUUAAGUUGCAGGGUAUAGACCCGAAACCCGGUGAUCUAGCCAUGGGCAGGUUGAAGGUUGGGUAACACUAACUGGAGGACCGAACCGACUAAUGUUGAAAAAUUAGCGGAUGACUUGUGGCUGGGGGUGAAAGGCCAAUCAAACCGGGAGAUAGCUGGUUCUCCCCGAAAGCUAUUUAGGUAGCGCCUCGUGAAUUCAUCUCCGGGGGUAGAGCACUGUUUCGGCAAGGGGGUCAUCCCGACUUACCAACCCGAUGCAAACUGCGAAUACCGGAGAAUGUUAUCACGGGAGACACACGGCGGGUGCUAACGUCCGUCGUGAAGAGGGAAACAACCCAGACCGCCAGCUAAGGUCCCAAAGUCAUGGUUAAGUGGGAAACGAUGUGGGAAGGCCCAGACAGCCAGGAUGUUGGCUUAGAAGCAGCCAUCAUUUAAAGAAAGCGUAAUAGCUCACUGGUCGAGUCGGCCUGCGCGGAAGAUGUAACGGGGCUAAACCAUGCACCGAAGCUGCGGCAGCGACACUGUGUGUUGUUGGGUAGGGGAGCGUUCUGUAAGCCUGUGAAGGUGUGCUGUGAGGCAUGCUGGAGGUAUCAGAAGUGCGAAUGCUGACAUAAGUAACGAUAAAGCGGGUGAAAAGCCCGCUCGCCGGAAGACCAAGGGUUCCUGUCCAACGUUAAUCGGGGCAGGGUGAGUCGACCCCUAAGG